CUGUAUGUGGCUGGUCGUGUCAAACGUACUGCUUUAAAACUGCACUGUGUAUGUAUGUCACCUGCUUGUCUCCAUUACUUUAAACAGCUGAGAAGUAAAUUGUGCAUUUUAACCGACAGGCUUGGGUGGAGUUUGGCGGUGAGGAGGCUUGAUGGUGGUAGAAGAAAAUUCCGCAAGGUGCCUGAAGAAAAAAGCCUUCACCUGGGAUGGCGUUGGGGCUAGCCUAUUACUAAACGCCCUGCAGACUCAGUAACUUCCAGAGAAGUCUCCGCUGUGGCCCAGACCAAAGAAAAACAAGGGAGAAGAAACGCAAAAGAGCCAACAAAAGGAAGAGAGACAACAAAUCGAGGCCGACCUGAUGGAGUGGAAGAGUGAACCGGCCCUUGAGGUCGGAGGCCUAGGAUGCCCAGCGAGGGGGGCGUGGGGGGCGGGGGACUCGUCCUGAAGGGAGUUACCUUCAGCACAGCCCAGCUCCACCUGUGCCUGGACUUGAUUCCCCACCCCACCCCACUCCCCCCGCAGCACUUCCCCUAAGUGGCUCUAUCCCUUCUGCACAUGCUCUGUCUGCUCAUAGCUAGCAAUCUGGGAAAUGUUGCCUAGCCUUCAGAGGACAAAACCAGAAAGCGGGUUUGGUCUUUCGUGGCUGAGUCCUUGGCCCUUGCUGCUCCCAGGCAGCCCUCUCCCGAGCGCCCGAAUGACAGCCCCUGCACCCUCCACCCCACUUCGCACUCCUUGGCCUCCCAUUCGCAGGGCUGGGAUUUUCUGGCACAGCGGGACAAAGUCCGGGGGGCAGCCUGCGCUGCCGGAGACCAGCGGCAGGUGCGACCAGGUAAGCCCAGGUGUGCUCAGGGUCGCGCAGUCACGGCCUGCGGGGCGUGGGAGCAGAGCAGCUCGCAGGGGGAGGAGGACCAGCCUCGCUGCCGUCGUCUCUUGGUGGGCGAGUGUGUUUAUUCCAAGCGGAGCCUGGAAAGUGGGAGCUUGGAGCGUCUUCAGGGGGUCCAAACCUCGCGUGCCAAGCACAGAGGGGCUUGCUUGUUCUUUCCUGCACUGGCAGUUGGCCCAGCCCUCGAGUACUGAUAUGGAAUCCUGAACGUAAGAAAACUUGUUCUCGAAGGCUUGCUGGGUUAGCCAGAAGUGGACCAAGCCCUGAGAGGUAUUUAUUUAAGUUGCGGUGCGUUUCUGCCUUAGCUCGGGAGAUACUGGAAAGGAACUAAUGGAAGUUAAGGUAGAUGAAGGCAUUAAAAUGGUUAUUCCCCAAGCGGAGGCUACUUCCUAGUCUCCUGUUCAUCUUUUGAUUUAGGAGUAGGGAGAGGAGUAUGAGAAGCAAGAAAAACCAUGAUACCAACUCAGAAGUGCAGGGCGAGGAUGGAAGUGUCCAGAUUUAAUGACAGCGUACGGUUUCAUGCCAAGAUAGAGAAGACUCUGGGCUGGCCAGGAGGAAAUUGGCCCCUACUGUGGGUCACAGAUCGUCAUGAGUUAAGUUCCAGGUGCACAUGUCCCACAGCCCAGUCCACAUCUCCACUCAGAUAUCUUCCACUCAGAGGCAUUCCAAAUAUAGCAGGUCCAAAGUUCUUCCCAAAGCCCACCCCUGUCUCAAUCAGUGUCUGUUCUGUUUUCCCCAUUUCUCAGGCCAGAAACCAUAGUCUUAAUUAGCUCCUCUCUUUCUCUCAUGCUCCACAUUUAACCCAUUAGCAAUUUUCUAUGUUCUACCUUCCAGUUACACAGAGGGACACCUGGGUGGCUCCUUCGGUGAAGCAUCCAACUCUUGAUUUUGGCUCAGGUCAUUCUCAAGGUUGUGAGAUCGAGCCCCGUGUUGGGCUUUGUGCUGGGCAUGGAGCCUGCUUAAGAUCCUCUCUCUCCCUCUCCCUGUGCCACUCCCCACCCUUUCCCUCUCUAAAAAAAUAUAUAAAUAAAAAUACAUGGAGAAAUGAGCUACGUCUUACCAUCAGGCUGCUAUCACCCUAUAUCCGGCUGCCCUCAUGUCUUACUUACAUACAUUAUUGCAGAGGCCUUCCAGCUGGUCUCCUUGCCUCCAUCCUUGCUCCCCUCCUGUCUGCUCUUC
RNAcentral lists this long non-coding RNA (2062 nucleotides) under Ailuropoda melanoleuca (giant panda). Its description in RNAcentral is "lncRNA (ENSAMEG00000023647.1)". Lineage: Eukaryota; Metazoa; Chordata; Mammalia; Carnivora; Ursidae. The record is from RNAcentral.